RNAcentral lists this ribosomal RNA (253 nucleotides) under uncultured bacterium. RNAcentral's name for it is "partial 16S ribosomal RNA". It matches the Rfam family "Bacterial small subunit ribosomal RNA", at positions 524 to 776 of the family's 1533-position model. The record is from RNAcentral.
UACGUAGGGGGCUAGCGUUGUCCGGAAUCAUUGGGCGUAAAGAGCGUGUAGGCGGCCCGGUAAGUCCGCUGUGAAAGUCGGGGGCUCAACCCUCGAAUGCCGGUGGAUACUGUCGGGCUAGAGUGCGGAAGAGGCGAGUGGAAUUCCUGGUGUAGCGGUGAAAUGCGCAGAUAUCAGGAGGAACACCGAUUGCGAAGGCAGCUCUCUGGGACGGUACUGACGCUGAGACGCGAAAGCGUGGGGAGCGAACAGG